GAUGAACGCUGGCGGCGUGCCUAAUACAUGCAAGUCGAGCGAACAGACGAGGAGCUUGCUCCUCUGACGUUAGCGGCGGACGGGUGAGUAACACGUGGAUAUCCUACCUAUAAGACUGGGAUAACUUCGGGAAACCGGAGCUAAUACCGGAUAAUAUAUUGAACCGCAUGGUUCAAUAGUGAAAGACGGUUUUGCUGUCACUUAUAGAUGGAUCCGCGCCGCAUUAGCUAGUUGGUAAGGUAACGGCUUACCAAGGCGACGAUGCGUAGCCGACCUGAGAGGGUGAUCGGCCACACUGGAACUGAGACACGGUCCAGACUCCUACGGGAGGCAGCAGUAGGGAAUCUUCCGCGAUGGGCGAAAGCCUGACGGAGCAACGCCGCGUGAGUGAUGAAGGUCUUCGGAUCGUAAAACUCUGUUAUUAGGGAAGAACAAAUGUGUAAGUAACUAUGCACGUCUUGACGGUACCUAAUCAGAAAGCCACGGCUAACUACGUG
RNAcentral lists this ribosomal RNA (497 nucleotides) under uncultured bacterium. Its description in RNAcentral is "partial 16S ribosomal RNA". It matches the Rfam family "Bacterial small subunit ribosomal RNA", at positions 28 to 507 of the family's 1533-position model. The record is from RNAcentral.